AUAGGACUUCAUCGCCAUAACCCAAGUCCUAGAAAUCUCGAACUGCGAGAUUGCGACGGCGAGAGAGAGGCUAGCUGGCGCGGAGGAUCACGUCUGGUUUGCCUGAUGCAGGAGGUUUCGUCAGAUUCUGGUGUCGGUGCGGCAGAUGCUGGUAUCAGCAGCUGUGGUGGGGGCGUUUAGGGUGGAUGGGAAGGGGGUGGUGCCGGCGGAGGAGGUGAGGUCAG
Molecule: unclassified non-coding RNA, 224 nt
Filed under: Hevea brasiliensis (rubber tree)
Lineage: Eukaryota; Viridiplantae; Streptophyta; Magnoliopsida; Malpighiales; Euphorbiaceae
Source: RNAcentral